CGGAGAAGAUCAAGGAAUGUGAAAACUCACCUAAUGGUGUAAGCUUACCUGAACCUGGAUCUGUGGAACAUGAUAUUCAAGUUGAGGAUCCUAUGGAGGAAAACCAGCAGACUAGUGAACAAGUUCUGCCAAAUGGAAAUGUGACACUGUCAGAGUGUCUCAGUGAACAGGAAACAGUUAUUGUUGAGCAACCUAGUUCAUCUGGUUCAUCACUUAGCUCUCAAGAAACUCAAGACGUCCCUCGUCGAUCUCAAAGGUCACAUCAGAGACCAGAAAGGUUGCAGUAUUCAACAUUAGGUAACCCCUUACUGCAUGUUGUUAAUGCAGUGUUUAAUAGCCUAAAUGAAGCUAUUGCAAACUCUAUGCAACAGCUUAACCAUUCGAAUGCACAGGGACGUGCAUACCAUCAAAGUGGGGAGGGUGUAACCCACAUUUAAAUAGGGCUUUAAUAAAAAAUGCCCUUGACCCUCAUAAACAUUAAAAAUGCUUUUGGUUUAACAGUUAUGUUUUAUUUAUGGUCGAUUUUUGUUAUAAUCAGUAGCUGAAAGGAAAAAAAACACAUGCAUCGCUUUAGCCAAUGGGCUGCUGCCUAGUGGCGCAUUGCCCCGCCCACCACUUCCUUCGCGGGGGGCGGGCUUUCCUCUGUCUUUCCGGCUGCGACUCCGAUGCUGAGCGAGCUGUUAAGGAAAAGGGAGACGGAGAUUCAUUGAAAAAAGAGCACAAAAAGCGAUAUAUAAGAGUCAGAGGUCGGAGGCGGCGCCAUUUUGUGUUGCGCUGUCCUCUCGUGAGAUCGGUCAGGUUUUUUUUUUCUUUUCCUUGGUUUGUUUUAUUUGUGAUGUGAUGGCGAGCCAAUCCCACAGACGAACCAGACAACUUCUUCCCGUGCUGCCCUGCACAGUGCGGUAGGCCAGCUGCGACAAGGAUCUCUGCCACACCAUUCUGCACCUGCUGUCCUCUUUCACACACACACACACACAUACACUGACGUUCCCCUGGACUUUUAGACGCUUUAAGGACUUCUACGGACUCAGUACACUCCCACAGGCAGGAGGCGGACCUGGUGUGGACAGAUUGGAAACACCCCUCCAAAAUAAGGUUCUGUUGCAUACAGCUGGUGAGAUCGAAGCAGUGUGAUAUUUGUUAUUGGAAUGGUUUUGUUUUGAACUAAAGCCUAAGUUGUGAAUUUAGAAGGGUGCACCCGGGAAAAUUUUGAAAGUGACUGUGAUUGUAAAAUAAGAUUACUGGUACCGAAGAGAAACUUUUAUUUAAAAUUUAUUUCAUUUGUUACAAUAUAUUUUCUUUAAAAUACACAAGCCGGCAACUUUUCAAAACCAUAACCUGUGUUCGAGUCUCAUUCUUUUCACACCUCCUUCCUGUGGCCGAACCUUCUGGC
Archocentrus centrarchus (flier cichlid) is the source of this 1393-nucleotide long non-coding RNA. RefSeq lists it as uncharacterized. NCBI's taxonomy places the organism in Eukaryota, Metazoa, Chordata, Actinopteri, Cichliformes, Cichlidae. The transcript is spliced from 3 exons. The record is from RefSeq and is a predicted model, not a curated record.